UACGUAGGGGGCAAGCGUUGUCCGGAAUAAUUGGGCGUAAAGCGCGCGUAGGCGGCCCCGUAAGUCCGCUGUGAAAGUCAAAGGCUCAACCUUUGAAAGCCGGUGGAUACUGUGGGGCUAGAGUCCGGAAGAGGCGAGUGGAAUUCCUGGUGUAGCGGUGGAAUGCGCAGAUAUCAGGAGGAACACCAAUAGCGAAGGCAGCUCGCUGGGACGGUACUGACGCUAAGGCGCGAAAGCGUGGGGAGCGAACAGG
Molecule: ribosomal RNA, 253 nt
Filed under: uncultured bacterium
Lineage: Bacteria
Description: partial 16S ribosomal RNA
Rfam family: Bacterial small subunit ribosomal RNA
Source: RNAcentral